Rattus rattus (black rat) is the source of this 531-nucleotide long non-coding RNA. RefSeq lists it as uncharacterized. The transcript has 4 exons. The record is from RefSeq and is a predicted model, not a curated record. NCBI's taxonomy places the organism in Eukaryota, Metazoa, Chordata, Mammalia, Rodentia, Muridae.
CCAGCUUUGAAUGCUUUCUCCUCUCAUCUCCGAACAUGUACACGGAGAAGGCUCUUCAUUGGCAUGAGGACUUCCGAUCUCGAUUUAAAAGAUGAUCCAGAAUAAAGGUAAAUUGUAACAGGCCCUCUCUGCCUAACGCCCUGGGGAUACAGUAAGAUGACAAUAUAUCAAACAACACAGACAUGGCCAAUUGUUGGAAGUGAAGAGCCACCCUUGGACAAUACCUGUCUGUGAGAUUGAAGUGAGUGUCUCGGAUCCCUGUGAUGCUCCAAGGAGGCAUUGUCUGUUUCUUGCAAUAUCAUGCCCAAGUGAUGGAUAUUGGUUUUUCCCCAUUGACUUGAGAAGUGAAAGACCAUAUUUCUUCCAAGUUUCUAAAAGCCAGCCCAUAUGUGGGAAAAACAUAGUUUUCUAACUGCACUUUGCAAACUGACAAACUGAAGUCUGAUUCACCAAUCUUCCUACACCAUCACCUUCCAAUGUAGAUUUAGUCAAGAAGAAGUUUAUUUAUAAAAUAAAUCAGAACAAUGAAAA